UGCCCAGCAGCUAGCCCCCUCCUUAAAUCAAACACAACAUAUCAAUAUAAAUACACCCAGAUGCACUAAAUCUUAUAUUAAACAAACCAUUUUACCCCCUUAGUAUGGGCGACAGAAAAGGGCCCGUGGAGCAAUAGAGAAAGUACCGCAAGGGAACGCUGAAAGAGAAAUGAAAUAAACCAGUCAAGCCUAGAAAAGCAGAGAUUUAAGCUCGUACCUUUUGCAUCAUGAUUUAGCUAGUAAUACCCAAGCGAAGCGCACUUUAGUUUGGUUUCCCGAAACUAGGUGAGCUACUCCAAGACAGCCUAUUAAUAGGGCGAACCCGUCCCUGUGGCAAAAGGGUGGGAAGAGCUUUGAGUAGAGGUGACAGACCUACCGAACCUAGUUAUAGCUGGUUGCCUGAGAAAUGGAUAGAAGUUCAGCCUCUUGGUUUUUUCCGCCACCCUCGUCCGACCCCUUCUGACACCCUAAGAAACCAUGAGAGUUAUUCAAAGGGGGUACAGCCCCUUUGAAACAAGAUACAACUUUACCAGGAGGAUAAAGAUCAUAAUAAACUAAGGUAAAAUGUUCUGGUGGGCCUAAAAGCAGCCAUCCCUAUAGAAAGCGUUAAAGCUCAGACAUCUCACUUACCCCUUUAUUCUGAUAAUCAAAUCUUAGUCCCCUAGCCUUACCAGGCUAUCCCAUGCAAACAUGGGAGUAACCAUGCUAAUAUGAGUAAUAAGAGAGCCUCCGACUCUCUCCUUGCACACGUGUAAAUCGAAAUGGACCCGCCACCGAACCUUAACGGCCCCAAACAAAGAGGGUACUGAACAACAGACCAAACAACCAGAAAAACAUCCAAUAGACCAACCGUUAACCCCACACUGGUGUGCCCCCAAGGAAAGACUAAAAGAAAAAGAAGGAACUCGGCAAACACAUAAAGCCUCGCCUGUUUACCAAAAACAUCGCCUCUUGCAAAACUGAAGAAUAAGAGGUCCCGCCUGCCCUGUGACUAAGUGUUUAACGGCCGCGGUAUUCUGACCGUGCGAAGGUAGCGCAAUCACUUGUCUUUUAAAUGGAGACCUGUAUGAAUGGCAUAACGAGGGCUUAGCUGUCUCCUUUUUCAAGUCAAUGAAAUUGAUCUCCCCGUGCAGAAGCGGGGAUAAAACCAUAAGACGAGAAGACCCUAUGGAGCUUUAGACACCAAAGCAGAUCAUGUUAAGCACCCCUUGACAAAGGACUAAACCAGAUGACCCCUGCCCUAAUGUCUUUGGUUGGGGCGACCGCGGAGAAAUAAAAAACCCCCGCGUGGAAUGGGAGAACCCUCUCCUACAGCUACGAGCUCCCGCUCUAGUAAACAGAAUUUCUGACCUUACAGAUCCGGCAACGCCGAUCAACGGACCGAGUUACCCUAGGGAUAACAGCGCAAUCCUCUUUUAGAGCCCAUAUCGACAAGGGGGUUUACGACCUCGAUGUUGGNNNAGGACAUCCUAAUGGUGCAGCCGCUAUUAAGGGUUCGUUUGUCAACGAUUAAA
RNAcentral lists this ribosomal RNA (1514 nucleotides) under Scorpis lineolata (silver sweep). RNAcentral's name for it is "partial 16S ribosomal RNA". It matches the Rfam family "Bacterial large subunit ribosomal RNA", at positions 53 to 2592 of the family's 2925-position model. Lineage: Eukaryota; Metazoa; Chordata; Actinopteri; Centrarchiformes; Kyphosidae. The record is from RNAcentral.